CCUACGGGCGGCUGCAGUGAGGAAUAUUGGUCAAUCGCCGGAAGGCUGCACCAGCCAUGCCGCGUGAAGGUCAGUGCCCUAUGGGCGUUAAACUUCUUUUGUGCGGGAGCAAUAAUGGUCACGUGUGGCCAGACGAUAGUACCGUACGAAUAAGCAUCGGCUAACUCCGUGCCAGCAGCCGCGGUAAUACGGGGGAUGCAAGCGUUAUCCGGAUUUAUUGGGUGUAAAGGGCGUGUAGGCGGGGACGCAAGUCAGAUGUGAAAACCACGGGCUCAACCUGUGGCCUGCAUUUGAAACUGUGGUUCUUGAGUACUGGAGAGGCAGACGGAAUUCCUAGUGUAGCGGUGAAAUGCGUAGAUAUUAGGAGGAACACCAGUGGCGAAGGCGGUCUGCUGGACAGCAACUGACGCUGAGGCGCGAAAGCGUGGGGAGCAAACAGGAUUAGAUACCCCUGUAGUC
Molecule: ribosomal RNA, 459 nt
Filed under: uncultured bacterium
Lineage: Bacteria
Description: partial 16S ribosomal RNA
Rfam family: Bacterial small subunit ribosomal RNA
Source: RNAcentral